Molecule: long non-coding RNA, 349 nt
Filed under: Mytilus galloprovincialis (Mediterranean mussel)
Lineage: Eukaryota; Metazoa; Mollusca; Bivalvia; Mytilida; Mytilidae
Source: RNAcentral
GGGAAAUCUAAACUACUUGUCUUAAGAGAUUUUCAGUGAUUAAAUAUUUCAUACAAUUGUUCUUUGACCUCUUAGCCAAAAGCACAGGUCAUAAUAAACUACACAAGGAUUCCUAAUGAGCACUACUUCCUAUGUGUAACUUCAAAACUUUUGGGUGAUUAGACGAUCAUUUAAGGUUUUUCUGGUCAUAUUUUUUGUAAUCCAGAAUAAAAAGUAUUAAAAAAGUGUUCAAUUAGUUAUAUAUAACAUAGUAGCCAGCUAGAUAAUAACAAUGGCAAGUAUUUCAGCAUUUGUUGGGUAGAACACAAAUCUAGGGUGCUCACAUAAUGCAGCUUAACUGCAUAAAAAU